This 339-nucleotide unclassified non-coding RNA is filed under the name soil metagenome. Its description in RNAcentral is "partial contains 5.8S ribosomal RNA, internal transcribed spacer 2, and large subunit ribosomal RNA". The stretch from base 1 to 120 matches the Rfam family "5.8S ribosomal RNA", at positions 35 to 154 of the family's 154-position model. The record is from RNAcentral.
GAUGAAGAACGCAGCGAAAUGCGAUAAGUAAUGUGAAUUGCAGAAUUCAGUGAAUCAUCGAAUCUUUGAACGUACAUUGCGCCCGGCAGUACUCUGCCGGGCAUGCCUGUUCGAGCGUCAUUUCAACCCUCAAGCCCUGCUUGGUGUUGGGGUCCCACGGCCGCCGUGGGCCCUGAAAGGAAGUGGCGGGCUCGCUACAACUCCGAGCGUAGUAAUUCUGUUUCUCGCUUAGGUCGUUGGGCGGCGCUCCAGCCGUUAAAGUACCCAUCUUUAACUCAAGGUUGACCUCGGAUCAGGUAGGAAUACCCGCUGAACUUAAGCAUAUCAAUAAGCGGAGGA